Long non-coding RNA from Chenopodium quinoa (quinoa), 2481 nucleotides. RefSeq lists it as uncharacterized. The record is from RefSeq and is a predicted model, not a curated record. Lineage: Eukaryota; Viridiplantae; Streptophyta; Magnoliopsida; Caryophyllales; Amaranthaceae. The transcript has 3 exons.
AUGAGUUGCACGUGACUCAAGGCAACCCAAAAACGGUGUAUAAGGGAAAAAACUUUAAAAAGUGAAACCGCCUUAUAGAAACCCUAUCUCUUAUCUCUCUCUAUCUCUCUCUCUCUCUCUCUUUCUCUUCUCUAUCUAGCUCUUAGAUCUUAGUUCGCCAUCUUUUGAAUUUGCUCUUAGAUCUCAGUUCAUCAUAUUUCAAAAUCGCUUGAAAUUUAGCGAAUUUGAGUGAAAGCCGUGAUAUAAUUUCCUUUUUCUCCUUGUUAAGUUCUUCAAUUUAAGGCAGGGCAAAAAGAUAUUAAGAGUGAAAAGGGUAGAAAAUAGCAUUUGAUUGUUGCAGAAAUGUUCCUAGCUGCCUGAUGUCAAGGAUACAAGGCCUAUCUAAUUUGGUUGGCUGUUUGUAGUGCUGAUUACUGAAUAGAUUAACCUGGUUUAGAAGCUUCUAACUGUUGGAGCCAAUUUGAUGCAUGCUUGGUUCAGGUUUUAGUUUGUAAGUGCAUGUUUUGGUACAUUUUAUAUUAUCCUUGUUUCAUAUGCUUGUUGCUGCUAUAUAUAUAUAUUGUUUUUCUAGUUAAGUUUGCUAUCAUUUCGGCACUCUCUACAAACUGGUUAGUGUCCAGGCAACUGAUUUAAUGAAUGUUUUGGGUUUUGUCAAUUUCUCAUUAUUAUAUGCUUAUUCUGCCAAUUUUGAUUAUGUCCUGCUUAAUUUUGUUGAAUUUCGUGGCUGAAUGAAUUUGCAUUUUAAUUAUUUAAUCUAUACUGCCGGAUUCCUACUGCAUUUUAAAUCAGGCAUUUUAUAAUUAUAAUACUUGCACUCAUUCUUGCACCCAUGGACUUCGAACACUCUCUAAAGCAAAGGUAGAAUGUUGGUUUUUAGUGCCAUUAUUGGGUAUGCUUAAGGAUAUGUUUAGUGCCAUUAUUGGGUAUGCUUCACUCAUCUUUCAUUUUACAAGUAGAGAUUUUAAAAACUUGUGACACUUAGUGAUCUGGACCUUAUUACUUUACUGAUGGAAAAUUCAUGUCAAAGAUCUGUGCUUAAUUAGAUACUUCUCAAUUUUACUGUACAAGGUAUUGCUCUGAUAGAAUAUGUUCUUGCUUAGAACUAAUAUCCUGAAUAAUAGUUGCUACUUUCUAGAGGAUGCAUUAACUGUAGUCUACUGUGUUUUCCAUUUGUAUUGAGAAGUAUUAGGCAAGGCCUUUCACUACUAUUAAGUUGGAUAUAUUCCGUAAUUUACAUGGGGAAACAUCUUUUGUGGCCUUUUGUUCUGUUAAUUGAGUCAUUGAAUGUAAUGAUUAUUAGUUGGGUAACCCUAUUAAUCUAUUAUAGCCUUUUUGUUCUGUUAAUUGAAUCAUUAAAUGUAAUGAUUGUUACCUGGGGAACCCAAUUUGGUAUACUUCCUUUUUUUCCCUUUUCUAUAGUUUGAUAUCACUUAUCCCAUGUUCUAUUUGUAAGCUAAUCUUGGUAAGGUAGACAGGAAGAGAACACCUUAAUGAUUGUUUUAUUCCAUGUCCCUUGGUACAAUAGCAAAACGGCUCACCAAAUCGGUACAAAUGUUUAUAAAUUAUUUUAUCUUGUUGGUCUAUAUAAGAAAUUGGAUGUUAAGUAUUUUCCAAUAUUUUAACAUAAUCGAGUGUAUGGAGGUAAAUCUGACCGUUGUGGUGUUGUCCAUGUAACUAUUGGUGAUGGUGGGAACUUUGAGGGUUUAGCUCGAAGGUAUGUAGUGUAUGUACUCAUGAACCUUCUUCAUCUGCUUGGAAAAAUGCAACAUAUUUUUAUAGUCAAUCAUCAAAAAAAUUGGCCAUUUUAAGUACUAAUUGUGAGAAAUAUAUUGCAUUUUUAUUAUGAUUUUAUAUUACAUAAUCUUUUCCUUGGUUAUAUGAAUUAAGAACUUCCUGCUUCUUGCAAUUUAAUUUCGGUUCUAGUCAAUUUAUCAUCUUGCAACUUCUAAUUCAAAGUUCCACCUAACAAUUUUGACCAUAUGCAGAACUCCCUUUCCGCUUUGCUGAUUUUGGGGUGCUUCACAGGAAUGAGGCUAGUGGUGCCCUCACUGGAUUGACGUGUGUUAGGAGAUUCCAGCAGGAUGAUGCUCAUAUCUUCUGCAGAGAAGGCCAAGUAAGUUGGAUCUGCUGAUGGUUGUGAAUUGAAUUCUGUUACUUUUGCCUGUGCACGUUCAGGUGAAGGAUGAAGUUAGGGCUGCACUGGAUUUUAUUAACUGUGUAUGGAAAAUUUGGGUUUACCUUCAAGCUAAAACUUUCAACCGUAUGAUAAUUUUCUCAUUUUCUUUAUAGUAAUUUCUGUAGUCAGCAUUAGUAUAUAGAUUUCAAUUAGUGAUUCGGAAUUUGUUCCACUACAACUUGUCACGACUGAAUUGUAAGUUGCAAUUAUAAUUGUUGUAAUAGAAACUCAUUACUAUGAGAUAUUGUAUAUAUGCUAUAAUAUAUUUAUAUGCAAUAUAAAAAUUUCGGUAUAAUUUUGUUGUA